GCGUAGAUAUAUGGAAGAACACCAGUGGCGAAGGCGGCUACCUGGUCUGCAACUGACGCUGAGACUCGAAAGCAUGGGUAGCGAACAGGAUUAGAUACCCUGGUAGUCCAUGCCGUAAACGAUGAGUGCUAGGUGUUGGAGGGUUUCCGCCCUUCAGUGCCGGAGCUAACGCAUUAAGCACUCCGCCUGGGGAGUACGACCGCAAGGUUGAAACUCAAAGGAAUUGACGGGGGCCCGCACAAGCGGUGGAGCAUGUGGUUUAAUUCGAAGCUACGCGAAGAACCUUACCAGGUCUUGACAUCUUGCGCCAACCCUAGAGAUAGGGCGUUUCCUUCGGGAACGCAAUGACAGGUGGUGCAUGGUCGUCGUCAGCUCGUGUCGUGAGAUGUUGGGUUAAGUCCCGCAACGAGCGCAACCCUUGUUACUAGUUGCCAGCAUUAAGUUGGGCACUCUAGUGAGACUGCCGGUGACAAACCGGAGGAAGGUGGGGACGACGUCAGAUCAUCAUGCCCCUUAUGACCUGGGCUACACACGUGCUACAAUGGACGGUACAACGAGUCGCGAACUCGCGAGGGCAAGCAAAUCUCUUAAAACCGUUCUCAGUUCGGACUGCAGGCUGCAACUCGCCUGCACGAAGUCGGAAUCGCUAGUAAUCGCGGAUCAGCAUGCCGCGGUGAAUACGUUCCCGGGCCUUGUACACACCGCCCGUCACACCAUGAGAGUUUGUAACACCCAAAGUCGGUGGGGUAACCUUUUAGGAGCCAGCCGCCUAAGGUGGGACAGAUGAUUAGGGUG
Molecule: ribosomal RNA, 795 nt
Filed under: Limosilactobacillus fermentum
Lineage: Bacteria; Bacillati; Bacillota; Bacilli; Lactobacillales; Lactobacillaceae
Description: bacterial SSU rRNA
Rfam family: Bacterial small subunit ribosomal RNA
Source: RNAcentral